Long non-coding RNA from Homo sapiens (human), 980 nucleotides. Ensembl annotates it as long intergenic non-protein coding RNA 2064. The record is from Ensembl. NCBI's taxonomy places the organism in Eukaryota, Metazoa, Chordata, Mammalia, Primates, Hominidae.
GAGGGCAACGUUAUCAUCUGACUGCUUGUAGCUGUGGAAGGGCGGCGUAGAAGAGGAAAGGCUGGGGGUUUCGGAUGGUUGUUUUUGAAGCCAUCAGUAUUCUUGAAGAAGCAGCAUAUCUUGAACUGUCCUAUGGGUGAAGGCUUUGAUGUGGUCCUGUAAAAACUGGGAAGAUUUGGAGGAUCAUCUGAAUACCCAUCCAACAGAGAUCCAUGAUUCAUGUAUUUCUCAAGACAGCCAUACACUAAAAUUAUAAGAUCAUAAGAAUAUUAAUUAUAUUCUACCAAUGCAAUACAAGCAUUGAAAUGGAUGGCAUCUGAUCCUGCUUCAUGUGAUUCUUCAUUUAGCUCUGGACUCUUUACAUCAUUAAGGCUUUUUCUUUGCAGGAAUUUAAAAGCAACCCUAUGAAUAUAACAUUUGUCAAAAAGAGCAAGUGCCAAGCCAGUUGAGAAUAACCUUACAAUGUGUACAAGGAUUCCAGCUUAUGCAACAUGAAAAUGGCAAGGAUGAAGACCUUUAUGAUGAUCCAUUUCCAUUUAAUGAAUAGAAGAAGUGUUAUCAAUUCUGUUGAUGGACCCCUUAAUCUCUUCUACUGAUUAUCUUCUACUUGAACCAGUGCCAAAUUAAUGUUGCAAGCUUUGUCUUGAAAUAUUUUCUUCUGAGCAUCAGCCAGAGAUCACUGAUUGGUUCACAGGAAUAAGCAGGGUUACUCUAAACUGCUUGAAAAGGAAACCUCAAAAACAACUGAUGAAACUAGAAUUUAAUAACAAGUGUACCAUAAUUCUUGAAACAUAAUUUUUCUCUCUCUAGUCUUUCAUUUUUACCAAAGACAAAUCAUGAAACAUGCACUAACCAGUGGAAAAGCUUGCCUAAGUGAUUGUUGUCAUAAUGACACGGAUUCAAUGAAUAAUUCUAUUCAUGGAAUUUCAUCAGCUUAAUAAGGAAAGAGUAAACAAAACAUCACUAUAACUGUGUACAAA